Molecule: ribosomal RNA, 492 nt
Filed under: uncultured bacterium
Lineage: Bacteria
Description: partial 16S ribosomal RNA
Rfam family: Bacterial small subunit ribosomal RNA
Source: RNAcentral
AGUGAACGCUGGCGGUAGGCCUAACACAUGCAAGUCGAACGGCAGCACAGUAAGAGCUUGCUCUUACGGGUGGCGAGUGGCGGACGGGUGAGGAAUACAUCGGAAUCUACUUUUUCGUGGGGGAUAACGUAGGGAAACUUACGCUAAUACCGCAUACGACCUACGGGUGAAAGCAGGGGAUCUUCGGACCUUGCGCGAUUGAAUGAGCCGAUGUCGGAUUAGCUAGUUGGCAGGGUAAAGGCCCACCAAGGCGACGAUUCGUAGCCGGUCUGAGAGGAUGAUUGGGCACACUGGAACUGAGGACAGGUCCAGACCCCUAAGGGAGGCAGGAGUUGGGAAUUAUCGGCCAUGGGCGGAAGCCUGAACCAGCCAAGCCGCGUGGGUGAAGAAGGGCUUCGGGUUGUAAAACCCUUUUAUUAGGGAAGAAAAUGUGUAAGAUUAAUACCCCGCAUUUUGACGGUACCCAAAAAAAAAGCCACGGCUAACUUCGUG